RNAcentral lists this ribosomal RNA (432 nucleotides) under uncultured bacterium. RNAcentral describes it as "partial 16S ribosomal RNA". It matches the Rfam family "Bacterial small subunit ribosomal RNA", at positions 29 to 506 of the family's 1533-position model. The record is from RNAcentral.
AGCGAACGCUGGCGGCAGGCCUAACACAUGCAAGUCGAACGAACUCUUCGGAGUUAGUGGCGGACGGGUGAGUAACACGUGGGAACGUGCCUUUUGGUUCGGAAUAACUCAGGGAAACUUGUGCUAAUACCGAAUGUGCCCUUCGGGGGAAAGAUUUAUCGCCAUUAGAGCGGCCCGCGUCUGAUUAGCUAGUUGGUGAGGUAACGGCUCACCAAGGCGACGAUCAGUAGCUGGUCCGAGAGGAUGACCAGCCACACUGGGACUGAGACACGGCCCAGACUCCUACGGGAGGCAGCAGUGGGGAAUCUUGCGCAAUGGGCGAAAGCCUGACGCAGCCAUGCCGCGUGAAUGAUGAAGGUCUUAGGAUGGUAAAAUUCUUUCACCGGGGACGAUAAUGACGGUACCCGGAGAAGAAGCCCCGGCUAACUUUGU